CUGGUUAGAAAAUGGAACUCCAAAAUUUUCUAAUGCUGGUUGUGCCAAACAUUAUUAUAGGGAUGAACUCUGCAUCUUCAUAAAAGUAUUAAUUAAUAUCAAUCUAAAUUUGCAUCUUCAUUAGAAAGGAGAAGGGUGGCAAAGAAAUGGGGAGGAGACAUAUUCGAUCUAAAAGAGUAAAUAUAUAAGGAAUGAUGAUAUAUGAAGAUUUUAUUUACAACUUGCACACGAAAAUCUAAGUCUAAAUAUGACCUCUUAAACUUUUUUAUAGUUGUAUUUUUUUUCAUUAGGCUCAAGACUUUAUAACUUUUGACAGUCUAACUUUAUAAUUUCCAGAGUUAGGGUUUUCAUCAACUUUUUUUUAAACUAGGUGUUUGGCCCGCACAUGCGGGCAUGAUCAUUUUACGAAAAAUAUAAAUUUUAAAACUAUCAUGCUAAAUUAUUUUUUAUAUUUUUAGUUACAAUUUGUUUUUUGUUUUUUUUGGUCAAAUUUUCAUCUUCUUGAACAUCAGUGGAAUCUAAUAACUAUGAGAAAUCACCUAUCAAUCAUCUCACGCAAUGAAGUAAACUAAAAAGAUAAACUUUCUUCUCUUUCAGUUAUUUCUACCACUUCAAACCAGAAACAUGAAAGAAACUAUCAAAAACAAACUAAAAACACAAAACGAAAAUAAAUACAAAAAAAAAUAAAUUAAUUAAA
Molecule: long non-coding RNA, 697 nt
Filed under: Brassica rapa (field mustard)
Lineage: Eukaryota; Viridiplantae; Streptophyta; Magnoliopsida; Brassicales; Brassicaceae
Description: long non-coding RNA (BRAP_LNC002797)
Source: RNAcentral